UGGUCGGACACCGAGCCUCUGUAAAGCUCCUUCGACGAGUCGAGUAGUUUGGGAAUGCUGCUCAAAAUGGGAGGUAUAUGUCUUCUAAAGCUAAAUAUUGGCCAGAGACCGAUAGCGCACAAGUAGAGUGAUCGAAAGAUGAAAAGCACUUUGAAAAGAGGGUUAAAAAGUACGUGAAAUUGUUGAAAGGGAAGCGCCUAUGACCAGACUUGGGCCCGGUGAAUCAUCCAGCGUUCUCGCUGGUGCACUUUGCCGGGCACAGGCCAGCAUCAGUUUGGCGCGGGGGAAAAAGGCUUCGGGAAUGUGGCUCCCUCGGGAGUGUUAUAGCCCGCUGCGUAAUACCCUGCGCCGGACUGAGGUACGCGGAUGCUG
Molecule: ribosomal RNA, 372 nt
Filed under: [Verticillium] biguttatum
Lineage: Eukaryota; Fungi; Ascomycota; Sordariomycetes; Hypocreales
Description: Verticillium biguttatum partial large subunit ribosomal RNA
Rfam family: Eukaryotic large subunit ribosomal RNA
Source: RNAcentral